CCUACGGGAGGCAGCAGUGGGGAAUAUUGGACAAUGGGCGCAAGCCUGAUCCAGCCAUGCCGCGUGUGUGAAGAAGGCCUUCGGGUUGUAAAGCACUUUCGGACGGAACGAAAUCGCGCGAUCUAACAAGUCGCGUGGAUGACGGUACCGUAAGAAAAAGCACCGGCUAACUACGUGCCAGCAGCCGCGGUAA
RNAcentral lists this ribosomal RNA (193 nucleotides) under uncultured bacterium. RNAcentral describes it as "partial 16S ribosomal RNA". It matches the Rfam family "Bacterial small subunit ribosomal RNA", at positions 338 to 523 of the family's 1533-position model. The record is from RNAcentral.